Molecule: unclassified non-coding RNA, 323 nt
Filed under: Hevea brasiliensis (rubber tree)
Lineage: Eukaryota; Viridiplantae; Streptophyta; Magnoliopsida; Malpighiales; Euphorbiaceae
Source: RNAcentral
UGCAAAUACUCCAAGCCCUUUGCAGCACCGGCAGCUAUCUUCAUUCUUGUAUUCCAAUCAAGUCGUUUUUUAUCAGGUGGAAGGUCAUGUAAAUGGUCUUCCAAAGAUCCUAAUGGCAUGUAUUCAUAAACCAAAAGUCUUUGAUCUCCAUCAGCACAGUAGCCAAUCAAGUUAACAAGAUUAGGAUGGUGAAGUANAGCUCAACAUUAAUACUUCAACAAGAAACUCCCUGUUUCCUUGGAGGCCAUUACGAUCAAGUUGCUUGAUGGCUACAACCUGAUUGGUACUUUCCAAUCUCCCUUUAUAUACUUGGCCAAAACCAC